RNAcentral lists this long non-coding RNA (3662 nucleotides) under Heterocephalus glaber (naked mole-rat). RNAcentral describes it as "lncRNA (ENSHGLG00000037016.1)". The record is from RNAcentral. Lineage: Eukaryota; Metazoa; Chordata; Mammalia; Rodentia; Bathyergidae.
GCCCUCUCUACACACUAUUUAUGGAAGCGGAUGCAGCCUGAGAUUGCUGGUGUCCAGAGAAGUCCCUGAGCAGUGGGGCAGAACAGUGGCUGUCCUGGGAAGCGCCCGGAACAAUCCCAGACACCUCAGCCCCAACAAGGCCUGUGUUUGGCAACGCGUGCUCGCGUUCACUGCGGAUGAGCUUGGCUGCCUCCAUGUCACAGCCCUUCCACAGGGACAGAAAAGGAGCAUGUGUCAAGAGAGUCUGCCGGAGGAUCUAGGCAGCGUCAGGAAAAAGCGACUGUUAGCGAUGUUUGGAAUUUCUUGGUAGUUUUCGUUCACCUCGUAAACAGGCACUCACGUAAGAGCAUGACUGUGAAGAGCUGAAAUGGGCCCUGGCAGGCAGAGGGGAGAGCCAGGAGAGGCCCCCAGUUCCGCAGCCAGUCUUCCCGGCGAGGCCAGGCAAGCUCCAGACCUGAGUUUCUCCCUCUCAGUUAAUUCCAUGCUGAGGUUCACUUCCAUUUCAGCUGCUUCCCCUCCCAGAGCCUCUCUGCAGGACAUGCCUUUCAAAGGAACCAGCUCAGGACAUCAUUACAAUAUAGAAUCUAUGCCUUACAAAAUACAUACAAAGUUUUCUUUCAGCAAGCCAAGGCCAGAUUGGGAACUGUACAACUGUAAUACUUCACUGCAGUGAUCCAGGGAAGAUGAAAUGUGGCCAUUGGAAGCAUGGUGGGGAGCUGGUUAAAAAGAAAAGAAAGAAGUUCCUACAGCAAAGGAAAACAUGAACUUGAUGGAAAUGGUCUUGGACCCUAGGAUUCUGCCUUGGGAUUUUGGCAAAGGAUUCCAGAGAAGCUCCAUCAAUGGUUUUGGAUGGGAAGGGGUUGCCUGGGUAUAACAAACACAACCACAACUGCAAAACCCCAGAGCUGCGCAAGCCCUGAACCGGACCAUGCCGUCACCCAGCAGAGCCCGAUGCUGACACCGAUGUGCUCCCCAGCACUGGGCACCUGCGGCCUCACCAGGUGAGGCGGGAAACAGUCUCCCGUUCACACGCUCAGAGGCAAGCAGGAGCAGCCCCGGGGUCAUGACACCCCUUGGUGUCUGAGCCACGCUGGAAAGUGGUCCCUUCUCCUUGGGGUGUCUGGCAAUCCCUAGGGAGGAAUCCUCCAAGAACAGGCUGUGGGCUCUGGGAUGGACCACCUGACCCGCGGUGGCCUCCUCGGAGACAUUCAGCUCACACAUGAGGCUUCCAAAGCCGUGCACAGCAGCCUGUCCACAAGUGCCCUAGGAAGACAUCGGGAGGACCAGGGCCCCAAAGCCCCAAGGAGCUGCACACGAGCACCUCCAAUGCACAAUCAGGGCAGGGGAGGCUGCUUCUCUCCUCUUUGUUUUUAAAUAAAGUAGUAAAGUUUUAAAGCUGAGUGAGAACAGGAGAGGCUGGGCAGGACCGGGUAGCUGCACACCAAGUCUGGCAGCUCAGCAGGGGUCAGCAGACACCAAGGGUGGCCUCCCUUCCCGUGGACCCCGGGAACGCGCAAGUCCACUCUUCUGAGUGACAAGGGCCAGGCUAGCCGGCAGGAGGGAGGCCCCUGCCCCAGUGGCGCUCAGGCGUUACUCAGUAGGAAGCUGGAUUGUGCAUCUAAAUUCGGGUACAAAAUUCUCUGGAAUGUGUCCAGGACCAACCCUGGAAAGCUCCCGAAUUAGGAAAGUUAGUCAGAGGAUCUGGACCUUCCUGUGCCAUCCUGAUUUCAAAACCCUGCAGCCCAUGUCUGGAUUCCAGCUUUGAAAGAUAGGGUCACCAAGAGUCACAUGCGGAAAAACUGGGCAGCGAAAGGUGUGGGUGACCAACAAAGCACUUCUCACCGAUCGUGCUGUGACCAACACUUCAAGCCUUAAAACCUUCCAGCCCUGUGCCUCUGACUGAAUGACCUUUUAAAAAUGGGUUAAAAAAAUUCAGUGACACCUGUCAGAAGUCAAAAUAAUCAGGUUGCCUUGUAAACAAAGCCACAGCCAGGAGCUGAGGAACGAGGCCACGCUAGUGCUCAGAUCCUUUCUUCCUGGCGGGCACAUGCUGCCCAGCAGAGGUCCUGCACAAGGUCCCCGGAAGUGCAAUGGCCCUGUGCAGUCCAUCUUAGCACCUUCUCGCAAGAAAGAGGCUGGGUCUUCUGGACACACUGGGCCUGGGGCACUGCCACGCCUUACUUCGGACCCCAACCAGCCACCAGCCCUGUCUGUGUGUCCCACCCUCACUGCCGUCACUGGUCUGGGCCACUGCCCGGGCACAGGGAGGUCUGGAGUCACCAGUGUGUAGAUGUCUGCACCUGGAGACUACACCGUGGCAAGUCCCACACCUGCCCCUAUGCAGGGGCUAAUAAAUUCGAGGGUGGGAUGGGGAUCUUGUACCUCAAGUCUCAUGGGUGGGGAUGUGGCAGGGUGCAGUUAGGGCACCUCCAGGACACCAUGCUCCCAGCAAGGGCACCUCGCCCAUCACUACAUAGCACCCAUCGAGAGGACACCCCCCCCCCCCGUGGCAGGGGCUGUGUCCAUCUGCGUGUCUGUAUGGCUGUAGGACUCAGGAGGCAUUCGGGGAGCUGACAACUGUUCCCCUGAUAUGGCUGACACCAGGAAGGGUUUUCCUGUCCAGGACACCAGCUGAUCCAGAAUCGCUCUGAGAUCUUCGUAGGGAAUCUCUUCCUCCACUUAGGCACCCUUCAUUUGGAGAUUUCUGCCUCCUCUGCCUCUGUGGCCCCUUAAGAAUUGAAGCCUGCCCCCAAAUAAAGGUUUGAUUUUUUUCACUGAUUUCUAGGAGCCCCUUCAGUUCCUUAACCCCACUGAAAGCAGCAAGCCUACUCAUAAAUCACACAAAGGCCCUGAAACAGACCCAGGCUGGGAAGACACGACACUCAGAAGGCAACCCUGUGUCAAGAUGAGAUGGAAACCGGCUCAUGAGAAACCUUCUGAACAGUCCCCCCGGCCCCCGAGAUGAGAUGAAUUUAAACCCCAGAUGGCUCAGGAGGGUCCAGCCAGAUGCCCAGAGGACUCCCUCCAGGUACCCUGUCCCCAUUUCCCAGGCCAGGCUGAGGCUGAAGGACCACACCCUGCCAUUAAGGAGAACCACUUUGGGAGUGAAGACACACUCAUCUGCCAAAAAUAGCCAAUGCCUGCAUAUUUCUGUUUUAAGGCAAUGUUACCCUUCCAUCUAUCAGACGGAACAGCCCUGGGUCGUUCAGAGGAAAAAUUAAAUUAAGUGCUCUCUUUGGAAACAGCCUAUGCCCACUUCCCCUCCCCCACCCCACCCCACUCUAAAACAAACCAGCUCUUUCUUUUAUUCCAAGAUGACUGGGUUUAGAGUCCUUUUUCCCCUCUUCCCGUGUGGAGACAGAUAUGGAAUUUGAAAACCUCCUCCUGUGACACUGGGCAGAUCACAAGGAGAUGCCCGGCUCCUCCUGUAGGGAGACACAUUCUCCCUCUUCUGCCUUCACAAUCAUAGAUAUGGGGGCACCAAAGGACUUUGGAAUAAAAUUCCUGAACCUGGAAUGUGAAUUCCUGAGACAUGAAAUGUGUUCAGAGGGUGGCUUUCUCCGCCUCACACAGAAACAGCUUUGGGAGGGACCUCACUUUGGAACCAACUGGGCAUGAAGAUCGUCAUACCCCAAGCACCCAGGGCUCUCUCUCUUCAUCAA